UAAUUACUACCACCAUAUUAUUAACCAUGUGUAUAAAUACAAUAUCAUGUAUCAUGGAGUUAUUCAGAAGAGCUGUCAAGCACAAGGAUACUUUUGUAAGGCAACUUUGUAUGUAUAGUAAUAUAUAUGCAAGAGAUGUAAAAAUCAAUUAAAGGGUAACGUGCAAAAUAAAAUCGCUUAAUAAUGUACUAGAGUUGUCGCAGCCAUAAUAGACGACACAGUGUGUAAUAAGCCUAUAAGUGUACUGUAGCAAGGUAUAACCAAUGUAGGUAAAGCUAUAAUAAGGCUGUUUCUCGUGAUGUGUAGUAAAAUACACUAUAAGACAUAACUAGGUUAAAGUAGCUCAAUCGAGAUAAUUACAGGAUAUUUAAAAGAUAUUAGCAAUUAUCUUACAAACAUCUGAAUGAUGGGUGAAAUUUAUGAGUAAUCAAUCUCAUAUGUGCAUUGACAAGGGUAAGAAGUAUUAGGUCGCUCCGAAAUACUCAGACUUACUUUCACAGUGACAGAAUAAUUAAGAAGAUAAUAUUUUGUAAGGCGAAGGUCUAAUAAUAUUAUAUAUCUAGA
Molecule: non-coding RNA, 564 nt
Filed under: unclassified sequences
Description: ROOL RNA
Rfam family: ROOL RNA
About the family: Firmicutes, Fusobacteria (1 example), Tenericutes (1 example).
Source: Rfam by way of RNAcentral